UACGUAGGGUGCAAGCGUUAAUCGGAAUUACUGGGCGUAAAGCGUGCGCAGGCGGCUUUGCAAGACAGAUGUGAAAUCCCCGGGCUCAACCUGGGAACUGCAUUUGUGACUGCAAGGCUACAGUACGGCAGAGGGGGAUGGAAUUCCGCGUGUAGCAGUGAAAUGCGUAGAUAUGCGGAGGAACACCAAUGGCGAAGGCAAUCCCCUGGGCCUGUACUGACGCUCAUGCACGAAAGCGUGGGGAGCAAACAGG
RNAcentral lists this ribosomal RNA (253 nucleotides) under uncultured bacterium. RNAcentral's name for it is "partial 16S ribosomal RNA". It matches the Rfam family "Bacterial small subunit ribosomal RNA", at positions 524 to 776 of the family's 1533-position model. The record is from RNAcentral.